GAUUUGAUUUUUACCUGAUACGCAGUGAAAUAGAGAUCAAAUCUCCAAAGAUUUUGAAUCUAAAGCCUCGCAUAAGUCUGAACUUCUAAACCCUCUACUUCGUGUGCACGCCAAACUUCGUAGGAAAGUAGGAUGAAGCCUCGGAUUAAAGUACCUUCGCAAGGCAAUAAAAGAGGAGAAAAAGCUUCAAAUGUGACACCUCACACCAGCAAGAGGGGAUGCCUAAUAUGCCUUCAUGC
This 239-nucleotide long non-coding RNA is filed under the name Elaeis guineensis (African oil palm). RNAcentral describes it as "long non-coding RNA (EGUI_LNC040039)". The record is from RNAcentral. Lineage: Eukaryota; Viridiplantae; Streptophyta; Magnoliopsida; Arecales; Arecaceae.